GACGAACGCUGGCGGCGUGCUUAACACAUGCAAGUCGAACGGAAAGGCCCUGCUUUUGUGGGGUGCUCGAGUGGCGAACGGGUGAGUAACACGUGAGUAACCUGCCCUUGACUUUGGGAUAACUUCAGGAAACUGGGGCUAAUACCGGAUAGGAGCUCCUGCUGCAUGGUGGGGGUUGGAAAGUUUCGGCGGUUGGGGAUGGACUCGCGGCUUAUCAGCUUGUUGGUGGGGUAGUGGCUUACCAAGGCUUUGACGGGUAGCCGGCCUGAGAGGGUGACCGGCCACAUUGGGACUGAGAUACGGCCCAGAAUCCUACGGGAGGCAGCAGUGGGGAAUAUUGCACAGUGGGCGGAAGCCUGAUGCAGCAACGUCGCGUGCGGGAUGACGGCCUUCGGGUUGUAAACCGCUUUCGCCUGUGACGAAGCGUGAGUGACGGUAAUGGGUAAAGAAGCACCGGCUAACUACGUG
This 468-nucleotide ribosomal RNA is filed under the name uncultured bacterium. RNAcentral's name for it is "partial 16S ribosomal RNA". It matches the Rfam family "Bacterial small subunit ribosomal RNA", at positions 28 to 507 of the family's 1533-position model. The record is from RNAcentral.